Molecule: unclassified non-coding RNA, 773 nt
Filed under: Hevea brasiliensis (rubber tree)
Lineage: Eukaryota; Viridiplantae; Streptophyta; Magnoliopsida; Malpighiales; Euphorbiaceae
Source: RNAcentral
AAUAUAAUCACAUUGCUCGGUUGUUGAAUUUGACCAAUUUCUUACAACAUUUAGAUGAUUUGUAAUAAAGAUGGACAGGGAUGCUCAUUCCUCUAUAAGUAGCACAAAUUUGAUUAGUUGAAGAAUGUAGGAAAAAAAUGGUGGGAUGAGGCUAAUCAAGCAGCAACUGGUACUUUUAGAGAUUCUAGUAUCUUAUCGUCUAGUUCAAACUUCAUUUCUUUCUUGUCUCUGCCAAUUUUCACGUACUCCUCAUAUCGCUCCUUCAAAUCUUCCGGUAAGUUAGUUGUAGCACUCCAUCCCAGAAUCUCAUUGGCAGCUCUAGGCUCAGCAUAGAAGUGCAUGUUGCGGAAAGGAAAAGCUUUUUUAGCAUCAACUCCUACUGCCUUGGGGUCAUAAUGCACAAUUUCAACAGAGCUUCCUGCAGCUUUAGCGCAUAAUCUUGCCAUUCCAUCCAAUGUCACAGCACGGUCACUAACACAGUUGAAGAUGCGGCCACUAGCAGCAGCUGGAUUCUGGACAGCCAGAGUAAGCAUGGAUGAUAAGUCCCUGACAUGAGAUAUGUUGGUUAGCUGCAUUCCAGAGCCAGGAAUUAGAACUGGUCGUCCACGAACAAUACGAUCAAAGAACCAUUCCUCACAAUCCUUGUUAUUGCCAGAGCCAAUCAUGUACUGAGGACGGAAACUUGCCCAACUACCAAAUAUCUCAGAUAUGUAUUUCUCGACUAAUACAUGACCAGCAUCAGCUUUCACAGCAUCCCCUUCAACAUGAGGAGG